This 471-nucleotide ribosomal RNA is filed under the name uncultured bacterium. RNAcentral describes it as "SSU rRNA". It matches the Rfam family "Bacterial small subunit ribosomal RNA", at positions 26 to 518 of the family's 1533-position model. The record is from RNAcentral.
AGGACGAACGCUGGCGGCGUGCUUAACACAUGCAAGUCGAGCGGACAUCUUCGGAUGUUAGCGGCGAACGGGUGAGUAACACGUGGGCAACCUGCCCCUAGCUCUGGGAUAACUCCGGGAAACCGGGGCUAAUACUGGAUAUGACCGAUCCAUGCAUGUGGGUUGGUGGAAAGUUUUUCGGCUAGGGAUGGGCCCGCGGCCUAUCAGCUUGUUGGUGGGGUGAUGGCCUACCAAGGCGACGACGGGUAGCCGGCCUGAGAGGGCGACCGGGCCACGACCUGGGACUGAGACACGGCCCAGACUCCUACGGGAGGCAGCAGUGGGGAAUAUUGCGCAAUGGGCGAAAGCCUGACGCAGCGACGCCGCGUGGGGGAUGAAGGCCUUCGGGUUGUAAACCUCUUUCAGCAGGGACGAAGCGAAAGUGACGGUACCUGCAGAAGAAGCACCGGCCAACUACGUGCCAGCAGCCGC